AAUACACAUCUCAUCAAGGCAGCAAAUCAAAUUGCCUUUUUGAAACAACUUAAAGGCAGAGAAAAAUAUUGACUUAUUAGAUGAUGGCUCUAAUUCUUUUGCAACUGACUUGUCAUCAGGAACUAUUAACCACAAGAAAUACAUCAAGUUUUCUAAAACAAUAGAGAAGAAAAUUUCACUGGAAAUUAGGAGUUUGAGCCCAGAAUAUAAAAAAAUGCUCUUUAGAGAAAUGCUGAUUGCAUGUCUGUGAAAGGAAAUGUAAAGUAAGCCUGGAACAUCUUGUCUUCCGGAGAUAAGGAAACUAUUAAUAAAAAAGACUGCUAUCAGGGAUUCAUCAGAAGGACUCAAGAGCCUACUGGAAGAGUCUCCCACCUUUUCCUAUAAAAGAUGAGAAAAUUAGAGCAUCAAUAAGUAUAAUAAUUUCAGGGAAUUAAACUGCAUCAAAUAUA
RNAcentral lists this small RNA (449 nucleotides) under Pan troglodytes (chimpanzee). RNAcentral's name for it is "processed transcript". The record is from RNAcentral. Lineage: Eukaryota; Metazoa; Chordata; Mammalia; Primates; Hominidae.